ACGAACGCUGGCGGCGUGCCUAACACAUGCAAGUCGCACGGGCCCGCAAGGGUCAGUGGCGCACGGGUGCGUAACACGUGAGGAACAUAGCCAUCGGCGGGGGAUAGCCGGCCCAACGGCCGGGUAAUACCGCGUACGACCUUCGGGUGGCAUCACCUGGGGGUGAAAGCAGCAAUGCGCCGAUGGGGUGCCUCGCGGCCUAUCAGCUAGUUGGUGAGGUCACGGCUCACCAAGGCUACGACGGGUAGCUGGUCCGAGAGGAUGACCAGCCACAUUGGGACUGAGACACGGCCCAGACUCCUACGGGAGGCAGCAGUGGGGAAUAUUGCGCAAUGGGCGAAAGCCUGACGCAGCGACGCCGCGUGUGGGAUGAAGGUCUUCGGAUUGUAAACCACUGUCGCGAGGGACGAAAAUCUGACGGUACCUCGAAAGGAAGCACCGGCUAACUCUGU
Molecule: ribosomal RNA, 452 nt
Filed under: uncultured bacterium
Lineage: Bacteria
Description: bacterial SSU rRNA
Rfam family: Bacterial small subunit ribosomal RNA
Source: RNAcentral